This 1348-nucleotide ribosomal RNA is filed under the name uncultured bacterium. Its description in RNAcentral is "bacterial SSU rRNA". It matches the Rfam family "Bacterial small subunit ribosomal RNA", at positions 28 to 1334 of the family's 1533-position model. The record is from RNAcentral.
GGCGAAGUGGCGGGCGGGCUUACACAUGCAGUCGAACGGUAAGGCCCUUCGGGGUACACGAGUGGCGAACGGGUGAGUAACACGUGGGUGAUCUGCCCUGCACUUUGGGAUAAGCCUGGGAAACUGGGUCUAAUACCGAAUAGGACUCCGGACUGCAUGGUCUGGGGUGGAAAGCUUUUGCGGUGUGGGAUGGGCCCGCGGCCUAUCAGCUUGUUGGUGGGGUGAUGGCCUACCAAGGCGACGACGGGUAGCCGGCCUGAGAGGGUGACCGGCCACACUGGGACUGAGAUACGGCCCAGACUCCUACGGGAGGCAGCAGUGGGGAAUAUUGCACAAUGGGCGCAAGCCUGAUGCAGCGACGCCGCGUGGGGGAUGACGGCCUUCGGGUUGUAAACCUCUUUCAGCACAGACGAAGCGCAAGUGACGGUAUGUGCAGAAGAAGGACCGGCCAACUACGUGCCAGCAGCCGCGGUAAUACGUAGGGUCCGAGCGUUGUCCGGAAUUACUGGGCGUAAAGAGCUCGUAGGUGGUUUGUCGCGUUGUUCGUGAAAACUCACAACUCAAUUGUGGGCGUGCGGGCGAUACGGGCAGACUGGAGUACUGCAGGGGAGACUGGAAUUCCUGGUGUAGCGGUGGAAUGCGCAGGUAUCAGGAGGAACACCGGUGGCGAAGGCGGGUCUCUGGGCAGUAACUGACGCUGAGGAGCGAAAGCGUGGGGAGCGAACAGGAUUAGAUACCCUGGUAGUCCACGCCGUAAACGGUGGGUACUAGGUGUGGGUUUCCUUCCUUGGGAUCCGUGCCGUAGCUAACGCAUUAAGUACCCCGCCUGGGGAGUACGGCCGCAAGGCUAAAACUCAAAGAAAUUGACGGGGGCCCGCACAAGCGGCGGAGCAUGUGGAUUAAUUCGAUGCAACGCGAAGAACCUUACCUGGGUUUGACAUGCACAGGACGCCGGCAGAGAUGUCGGUUCCCUUGUGGCCUGUGUGCAGGUGGUGCAUGGCUGUCGUCAGCUCGUGUCGUGAGAUGUUUGGGUUAAGUCCCGCAACGAGCGCAACCCUUGUCCUAUGUUGCCAGCGGGUUAUGCCGGGGACUCCUAGGAGACUGCCGGGGUCACUCCGAGGAAAGGGGGGGGAUGAAGUCCAAUUCUUCCUGGCCCCUUAUGUUCCAGGGGUUCCCACAUGGUUAAAUGGGCCGGGAACAAAGGGUUGCCAUUCCGCCAGGGGUGGAGGGAAACCUCUUUAAAACACGGUCAAAUUUUAAAAAUGGGGGGUGGGAACUCAUUCCCGCGUUAGUAUGGAGGUCGUCGCCGAUAUAUAAUCAUAUACACCACUCGUGGGAGAAGGUGUCG